Molecule: ribosomal RNA, 424 nt
Filed under: uncultured prokaryote
Description: bacterial SSU rRNA
Rfam family: Bacterial small subunit ribosomal RNA
Source: RNAcentral
UGGGGAAUAUUGGACAAUGGGGGCAACCCUGAUCCAGCAAUGCCGCGUGAGUGAUGAAGGCCUUAGGGUUGUAAAGCUCUUUUACCAGGGAUGAUAAUGACAGUACCUGGAGAAUAAGCUCCGGCUAACUCCGUGCCAGCAGCCGCGGUAAUACGGAGGGAGCUAGCGUUGUUCGGAAUUACUGGGCGUAAAGCGCGCGUAGGCGGCGUAUCAAGUCAGGGGUGAAAGCUUUCGGCUCAACCGGAAAAUUGCCUUGGAUACUGGUAGUCUUGAGUACAGUAGAGGUGGGCGGAAUUCAUGGUGUAGCGGUGAAAUGCAUAGAUACCAUGAGGAACACCGAUAGGGAAGCCAGCUCACUGGACUGUCACUGACGCUGAGGUAUGAAAGCGUGGGGAGCGAACAGGAUUAGAUACCCGUGUAGUCC